UUUGACCUUGGAAACAAGGCUAACACACAUAUUUGAUAUAUUUUCAUUUGGAAAUCCCCCCUCAAAUAGCAAACUUUUAGCUCAGCUUUAUUACAUUCCCAAGGUCAUAAUCAUCCCAGGACCUGUAAUCUGAGAUUCACGUAGCACAGAGGCUAGGGCCACAGGAAGGAACAGGAGGCAAGAAUGCAAAAUUCACCAUGGAGUAACUACUGGUUGAAGUUGAUGCAGAGAAUUCUGGACCUUGAGGACAAAGACUAGUGAAACCAAAAAGCCCUGUACUGUUUGAGAAAUAAAUGAAUUCCCGGUUGGCUAGUGGAUACCAAAGGAAGACAACAGCCCAUUGAAAGGUAUGUACCCAGGCAAGCUGGCUGGAUCCGACUGAAGGCCCACAAAGACAGGCAACAACAGAUUGAUACUGCAACAUGGCUACAGCAGCACAGGAUUGAAGAAUCAAGAAAGAGGACUGAGUAAUUUACUGAAAUCAUACAAGAAUGGCUGCACCCAUGAACUCGUAGAAUUACGGUUACUUGCUGCGGGCCGUUGGCGGUGCACACCUUUAAUCCCAGCACUUGGGAGGCAGAAGCAGGCAGAUCUCUGUGAGUUCAAGGCCAGCCUGGUCUAUCGAGUGAGUUCCAGGACAGGCUCCAAAACAAUACAGAGAAAACAGCAUGGAACAUGGAGAGAGAGAAGUGAAGGGAGGAAGAGAGAAGAGGCAGAGAGAGAGAGAGGAGAAAGAAGUUGGAACUUUUAAGGGGAAGACUGCACAUGUGCACUGAGGUUCCACGCGUGUGCAGAGUCCUCACGAAGGCCGUAAUGCGAGAUUUUCUUUAUAAAAUUUUGAAUUCAUAAGAUGUCAUGACACCUCAUUUUGAUGGAAUGAACCUUUAAGCCUUCAUCCAGAAGCUGAUGGAAAUAGAAGCAGACACCCACAGCUAAACACUGAACUGAACUGGAAUCCAGUCACAGAGAGGGAGGAGUGAUGAGCAAAAGGGUCAAGACCAGGCUGGUGAAACCCACAGAAACAGCUGACCUGAACAAGGAGGAGCUCAUGGUCCCCAGACUGAUAGCUGGGAAACCAGCAUGGGACUGAUCCAGAUCCCAUGAACAUGGGUGUCAGUGAGGAGACCUCGGAAAUCUAUGGGGCCUCUUGUAGUAGAUCAGUACUUAUCCUUAGCAUAGGAAUGGACUUUGGGAGCCCAUUCCACAUAGAGGGAUACUCCUUCAACCUAGAUACAUGGGGAAGGGCCUAGGCCCUAUCCCAAAGGAUGUGACAGAUCCUGAAGACACCUUCCAUGGAAGGCCUCACCCUUCCUGGGGAGCAGAUAUGGUAUGGGAUAGAUAGGGUGUUAGUAGGAGGCAGGGGAGGAGGGGAGGGAAAGGGGACUGGGAUUGACAUGUAAAACAAACUUGUUUCUAAAUUAAAU
Molecule: long non-coding RNA, 1424 nt
Filed under: Cricetulus griseus (Chinese hamster)
Lineage: Eukaryota; Metazoa; Chordata; Mammalia; Rodentia; Cricetidae
Description: lncRNA (ENSCGRG00015038849.1)
Source: RNAcentral